Molecule: ribosomal RNA, 1357 nt
Filed under: uncultured Chloroflexota bacterium
Lineage: Bacteria; Bacillati; Chloroflexota
Description: uncultured Chloroflexi bacterium 16S ribosomal RNA
Rfam family: Bacterial small subunit ribosomal RNA
Source: RNAcentral
AGAGUUUGAUCAUGGCUCAGGAUGAACGCUGGCGGCGUGCUUAAUACAUGCAAGUCGAACGAAGCCCCUUUUCUUCGGACGAGGGUGCUUAGUGGCGAACGGGUGAGUAACGCGUUGGUAACCUGCCCCAAAGUGGGGGAUAACAGUUCGAAAGGACUGCUAAUACCCCAUGUGAUCAUCAGGAUUAGAUGCUUGAUGAUGAAAGGAGUAAUCCGCUUUGGGAGGGGCCUGCGUCCCAUCAGCUAGUUGGUAGGGUAAUGGCCUACCAAGGCUUUGACGGGUAGGGGACCUGAGAGGGUGGCCCCCCACACUGGCACUGAAACACGGGCCAGACACCUACGGGUGGCAGCAGUAGGGAAUAUUGGACAAUGGGCGAAAGCCUGAUCCAGCAACGCCGCGUGCGCGAUGACGGCCUUCGGGUUGUAAAGCGCUUUUAGGGGAGAUGAGAAAGGACAGUAUCCCCUGAAUAAGCCUCGGCGAACUACGUGCCAGCAGCCGCGGUAAAACGUAGGAGGCAAGCGUUAUCCGGAUUUAUUGGGCGUAAAGCGCGUGCAGGCGGCUUGGUAAGUUGGAUGUGAAAGCUCCUGGCUUAACUAGGAGAGGUCGUUCAAUACUAUCAAGCUAGAGAAUGGGAGAGGGAAGUGGAAUUCCGGGUGUAGUGGUGAAAUGCGUAGAUAUCCGGAGGAACACCAGUGGCGAAAGCGGCUUCCUGGACCAUUUCUGACGCUAAGACGCGAAAGCUAGGGGAGCAAACGGGAUUAGAGACCCCGGUAGUCCUAGCUGUAAACGAUGUAGACUUGGCGUUGGCGGAGUUAAAUCUGCCAGUGCCGGAGCUAACGCGUUAAGUCUACCGCCUGGGGACUACGACCGCAAGGUUAAAACUCAAAGGAAUUGACGGGGACCCGCACAAGCAGCGGAGCGUGUGGUUUAAUUCGAUGCUACACGAAGAACCUUACCAGGGUUUGACAUGCAAGUGGAGGAAUCCGAAAGGUGACCGCCCUUCGGGGAGCUUGCACAGGUGCUGCAUGGCUGUCGUCAGCUCGUGUCGUGAGAUGUUCGGUUAAGUCCGCUAACGAGCGCAACCCUCACUGUGUGUUACAUGUGUCACACGGGACUGCCGGUUUUAAGCCGGAGGAAGGUGGGGAUGACGUCAAGUCAGCAUGGCCUUUAUAUCCUGGGCUACACACACGCUACAAUGGUCGGUACAAUAGGUUGCCAAGCCGCGAGGCGGAGCCAAUCCAUAAAGCCGGCCUCAGUUCAGAUUGUAGGCUGCAACUCGCCUGCAUGAAGAUGGAGUUGCUAGUAACCGCAGGUCAGCAAUACUGCGGUGAAUACGUUCCCGGGUCUUGUACACACC